AUGUCCGCAUCUGCCUUUUUUGCCAUCAAAU
RNAcentral lists this non-coding RNA (31 nucleotides) under Rattus norvegicus (Norway rat). The record is from RNAcentral. Lineage: Eukaryota; Metazoa; Chordata; Mammalia; Rodentia; Muridae.